This 3525-nucleotide unclassified non-coding RNA is filed under the name Pomacea canaliculata. Its description in RNAcentral is "cGMP-specific 3',5'-cyclic phosphodiesterase-like, transcript variant X3". Lineage: Eukaryota; Metazoa; Mollusca; Gastropoda; Architaenioglossa; Ampullariidae. The record is from RNAcentral.
UCCUGUUUACGCGCAUCGUCCGACGCCAGGACCUUUCGGAACGUGUGAAGAACACAGUGCAUCCUUCACCACAUCCAGUCGUCGGGGCUGCGACAACAGAUCCAUUUCCGACUCACUGCAGGAUGCAGAAUCUUCUGACUGUGAAUUAGCGGGAGGCGGACAGUGGGACGAAAGACACUGUGCUGCCAUCUGACAGACUCUCUGACGCUAAGAGAUGAAAGCGCAUGUUAACACCUCGGACAAACUCCUUGUGACUCGAUGUCGUGUCUCUUUACGUCACGUCCGGCACCUUGCGAACGUCGAGCAAGUUCUUCCGCACACCGCCAGGCAACAGCUCGUUUCCAUAGCACUGUGAGCGCAAUGAAAGGCGCCUGCCCUCAGUACAUACAAAGCCGGAGAAGAAACCUGCGUAAACAUUACUCAAAACCAGAGAAGAAACCCAUGUAAACAUUAUUCAACAAGUGGAGUACUUCUAACCACGUGUUUGUGCUUAUUGUCUUCGCUCAGCUAUUUACGUCCCUUCCCAACCCUAUUCCCCUCUCCACCCUAGUGGGAAGGAGAGAAGGAACAGCCCGACCCUUUGCAAGAAGUCAAAACCAAAACACCUUGUGCCAGGCAUCCCUGACCUAUACACACCCAGCCAUGUCGAAACUGACCGAAGAGCAGGUGACCGAAUACCUCAGAAACCACCCUGAGUUCCUGCUGAACUGGCUGGGCGAGAACAGUAGCACGGAGCUCGUCGACGUCUUCGGGCGGCUGGCGCGCGACCGGGGCGUGGAUUCCUCAGUCCCCGACACGAGUGUCGGGACGUGCCGCUCGGACACCCGUUCCUCCCUGCCGAACUUCACCCAAGUGUCCCGCAACUCCAUUACGUCUUCCAUCUUCCGCCGCUAUGUGGAUGGAGACCGCACUCGCAAAACCUCCUUGCGCAAGGACCGCAACAGCCUGCGCACCAUGUCGGAGGAUGAGCUCUUCAUGGAGCUCAUCCGCGACAUCGCCAGCGAACUGGACGUCAACCUGCUAUGCCACAAGAUCCUGCAGAACGUCAGCCUCCUGACCAACAGCGACCGAAGCUCCCUCUUCCUGGUGCGUGGUUCGCGCGAGGGCAAGUACCUCGUGUCAAAGCUCUUCGACGUCACCGUGACGUCCACGCUGGAGGACUCGCAGAACAACGAGAUUAAGGUGCCCUUCGGCAAGGGCAUCGUGGGCAUCGUCGCGCAGACUGGCGUAGCCAUCAACAUCAAGGACGCGUAUGCUGACCCGCGAUUCAAUCAGGAGAUCGACCGGCAGACCGGCUACAAGACCCACAGCAUCCUGUCCAUGCCCAUCGUCAACUACGAGGGCGAGGUCAUCGGUGUCGCGCAGAUCAUCAACAAGAUCGACGGCGACCACGAGUUCACCAAGCAGGAUGAGGAGGUGUUCCGAAAAUAUCUUAUCUUCUGUGGGAUCGGCAUCACAAAUGCACAGCUCUUUGAGAUGUCCGUCAAUGAGUUUAAAAGAAAUAAGCUUCUGUUGCACCUGGCAAGAGGGAUCUUUGAAGAGCAAACCAACUUGGAGAAGCUCGUGCAGAAGAUCAUGCUAGACGCGCAAGACCUACUCAAGUGUGAGAGAUGCUCGGUCUACCUUUUGGAGGACACUCUUGAACAUGACAUUGCGCGGUUCACGCACGCUUUCAUGUCCAGGCUCGGCACAUACUCGCGCAGCUCACUGGUCAUGGCCAUGCAGUCAACACAAGUGAAGCUACACAAUAUAAGGAAGAACAUUUACCAAGUCCUCGAUCCGGCCAACCAGCAUGACAUGACCGCCAACUUAAGUCUCGGACUGCUGCCGGAAGCCAAGCAAAGGAUAAGAGAGGAAGUGGUCUUCUCGAAAGGUUUUGACAUGUGGUCUAAGGAUGGCAAUGUAACAGCUAUCAGUGGUCCAGAACUCUCAACGUCCAGGACUGCCUUCAUUGCCAAGUUUGCUGUGAUAACAGACGAAACUGUCAACGUGCCUGAUGUCGAAGCCGAUGGAAGAUUUGGCAAAGGUCCCUUCGUCGAUCUCAAGGGCUGCACGAUCCGCAGCGUCCUCUGUAUGCCUAUCCACAACAGCGACAAGCAGAUCAUCGGCGUCACGCAGCUCGUCAACAAAACCAACGGCGAGCCUUUCAACGACAACGAUGUGAACAUUAUCGAGGCUUUCUCCAUCUUCACGGGGCUUGGUAUCCACAACUGCCAGAUGUACGAGAACGCCUGUCAGCUGAUGGCCAAGCAGAGCGUGGCGCUGGAGGUCCUGUCCUACCACGCUACGGCGCAGACGGAGGAGUCCAACGAACUGGCGCGUUCUGACAUCCCGAGCGCUGCUGAGCUCCAGCUAUACUCCUUCGACUUCGACGACAUGCAGAUGGGUGAUGACGUUACGCUCAAGGCAUGCAUUCGCAUGUUCAUGGAAGCCGACCUCAUCAAUCGCUUCAAAGUACCGUAUGAGGUUGCGUGCCGCUGGGUGUGUACUGUCAAGAAGAACUACCGGCCAGUGACGUACCACAACUGGCGACACGCCUUCAACGUAUGCCAGACCAUGUUCAACAUUAUUUUUACCGGAGGCUUCAGGACGAUGUUUGAUGACCUGGAAGUCUUUUCACUGAUGGCCGCCUGCUUGUGCCACGACCUCGACCACAGAGGCACCAACAACGCAUUCCAAGCGAAGGUAGCUUCACCCCUGGCCAUGCUGUACAGUACCUCAGUGCUGGAGCAUCAUCAUUUUGAUCACUGCAUCAUGAUUCUAAACAGCGAGGGCAACAACAUUUUUCAGUCGCUGUCGCCAGAGGAGUACAGGCGUGCCAUCAGAAUGCUAGAGCACGCGAUCCUGUCCACAGACCUGGCUAUAUACUUCAAGACACGAGGAGACUUCAAGAAACUUGUGGAGAAUGGAGAACGCACCUUUCGUGAAAAAAAAGAACGAGAACUGCUCAGGGCCAUGAUGAUGACAGCCUGUGAUGUGGCGGCUAUCACCAAACCCUGGAUAAUUCAGCAAAAGGUCGCGCAGCUGGUUACCAACGAAUUCUUUGAGCAGGGAGACAUCGAGAGGACACAGCUGGGGGAGCAGCCCAUCCCCAUGAUGGACAGAAACAAAAAGGACGAGCUACCCAAGAUGCAGGUCGGUUUCAUCGAUGCUGUUUGUAUCCCCGUCUACAAGCUCUUCACGGAAAUUACUCCGAAUUUGCGUCCAAUGCUGGUGAGCGUGGAAGAUAACAGACAGCACUGGGUACGCAUUGACAACAAUUUGGAGGAACCGCCUCCAUGCCUGAAUAUCAAGAAAGAGGUGGAACUUCAGGAUCGCGCCAUUAAUACCGAGGCUGUUUGCCGAGAUGAACGAGAGGCUGGCCCCCCUGUACCUGGGCUGCGAGAACAAUAGAGAGAAGUGGCAGGAGCUGGCGGACGAGAAGACGACGUCCCUCGCUACAGAAACAGAACAAACCAAUCAGGAACAGCCCGCCAGCGACCGCAGCUCAGAGCAAACCAACAACAAAAGCAACAACAUCGAUAA